AGAAGCAUUAAAUACAAGAAUUAACAUAGAAUGUACUUUUGUGUAAUCUAAUAUAUGAUGGCAAGAAUCGUACUGCGCAGAAUCACCUAAGAAGAGGUCAAGAAGCGGACAAGUGAGGAAGACUAUGGAAGACCACCAGAGGGCUUCUGAAGACCGCCAGAGACCUCCAAUGGGCUUGCAUAAAGGACAUUUACAUAUGUUAAUAGUUUCUCAGAAAACUAAUGAUUAUGUAUAACAUUUCUCGGAAAUCUAGUGA
Aquila chrysaetos chrysaetos is the source of this 256-nucleotide long non-coding RNA. RefSeq lists it as uncharacterized. The transcript is spliced from 3 exons. Lineage: Eukaryota; Metazoa; Chordata; Aves; Accipitriformes; Accipitridae. The record is from RefSeq and is a predicted model, not a curated record.